Molecule: ribosomal RNA, 504 nt
Filed under: marine metagenome
Description: bacterial SSU rRNA
Rfam family: Archaeal small subunit ribosomal RNA
Source: RNAcentral
UGAAUCUUGCGGUUUAAUUGGAGUCAACGCCCGGAAACUUACCUGGGGGGACAGCAGAAUGAAAGCCUAGCUAAAGACUAUGCUAGACAAGCUGAGAGGUGGUGCAUGGCCGUCGCCGGUUCGUACCGUGAGGUGUCCUGUUAAGUCAGGCAACGAACGAGACCCAUAUUCCUAGUUGCUAGAAUGAUUUCUCGAAAUCAUUAAGGAAACUAGUUAGACUGCCGCUGUAAAGCGGAGGAAGGAAUGGGCUACGGCAGGUCAGUAUGCCCUAAAUCCUCAGGGCCACACGCGAGAUGCAAUAGCAUGGACAAUGGGUUCUGACCCCGAAAGGGGUAAGAAAUCCUUAAAUCAUGCUUCAGUUGGAAUUGAGGGCUGCAACCCGUCCUCAUGAACCUGGAAUCCCUAGUAACCGCGUGUCAUCAUCGCGCGGUGAAUACGUCCCCGCUCCUUGCACACACCGCCCGUCGCUUCAUCCGAGUUGGAUCUUGUUGAGGUUUUGUUAUU